CUACGGGAGGCUCCAGUGGGGAAUAUUGCACAAUGGGCGCAAGCCUGAUGCAGCCAUGCCGCGUGUAUGAAGAAGGCCUUCGGGUUGUAAAGUACUUUCAGCGGGGAGGAAGGGAGUAAAGUUAAUACCUUUGCUCAUUGACGUUACCCGCAGAAGAAGCACCGGCUAACUCCGUGCCAGCAGCCGCGGUAAUACGGAGGGUGCAAGCGUUAAUCGGAAUUACUGGGCGUAAAGCGCACGCAGGCGGUUUGUUAAGUCAGAUGUGAAAUCCCGGGGCUCAACCUGGGAACUGCAUCUGAUACUGGCAAGCUUGAGUCUCGUGGAGGGGGGUAGAAUUCCAGGUGUAGCGGGGAAAUGCGUAGAGAUCUGGAGGAAUACCGGUGGCGAAGGCGGCCCCCUGGACGAAGACUGACGCUCAGGUGCGAAAGCGUGGGGAGCAAACAGGAUUAGAUACCCCAGUAGUC
Molecule: ribosomal RNA, 464 nt
Filed under: uncultured bacterium
Lineage: Bacteria
Description: partial 16S ribosomal RNA
Rfam family: Bacterial small subunit ribosomal RNA
Source: RNAcentral